AGUGAACGCUGGCGGUAGGCCUAACACAUGCAAGUCGAACGGCAGCACAGUAAGAGCUUGCUCUUACGGGUGGCGAGUGGCGGACGGGUGAGGAAUACAUCGGAAUCUACUUUUUCGUGGGGGAUAACGUAGGGAAACUUACGCUAAUACCGCAUACGACCUACGGGUGAAAGCAGGGGAUCUUCGGACCUUGCGCGAUUGAAUGAGCCGAUGUCGGAUUAGCUAGUUGGCGGGGUAAAGGCCCACCAAGGCGACGAUCCGUAGCUGGUCUGAGAGGAUGAUCAGCCACACUAGAACUGAGACACGGUCCAGACUCCUACGGGAGGCAGCAGUGGGGAAUAUUGGACAAUGGGCGCAAGCCUGAUCCAGCCAUACCGCGUGGGUGAAGAAGGCCUUCGGGUUGUAAAGCCCUUUUGUUAGGAAAGAAAAGCAGCAGGUUAAUACCCCGCUGUUCUGACGGUACCCAAAGAAUAAGCACCGGCUAACUUCGUG
Molecule: ribosomal RNA, 492 nt
Filed under: uncultured bacterium
Lineage: Bacteria
Description: partial 16S ribosomal RNA
Rfam family: Bacterial small subunit ribosomal RNA
Source: RNAcentral